UGUUAAUCCGAAAAAUAUUAGAAAUGUAUUGGUUUUACGAAUACAUUUCCAGGCAGACGACAGUUUCAUUUUCUCAUGUGCUUUGCGCACUGGCUGCCAGGCAAGCUCGCUCAUUCUACCCACACUGCCACAUACACCGAACCCAAACCGGCUGUGCACAUGCGCCAUCGUGCAUACAUUUAUGCUGUCCCCUCACCCUGACUACACCGAUCGCUGCAAAAUAAAUGUAGAAAUCUAUGUUAUUCAAUAGCCCUUAUGCACAUUCCAUGAUUGAACGUUCUAAACACACAUCAUAUCCGUUUUGGCAAUUUCUGGUCAGUCUAGUUGUUAUCGACGAUAUAACGUUACUACCACUAUGUCGCAGUUUUUUACUAGGUGUCUUCAGGAUUUGCCUCAUUAAUAUUAAUGAUGUACAUCGAAUUGUUACAUCAGCCUCCGAGACUCCAGCUAGCAAGAAUGAAAAGGGGUUCAAUAUGUAUAUAGGAAGCUACAGACAACUAUGAAGCAUCUUCACGAGGUCCUUUGCUGUUGUUCUGGGAUUGAUUUGCACUGUUCGCACCAAAGUACGUUCAUCUCUAGGACAAAGAACGCGCCUUUCUCCUGAGCGGUCCGUACAGUGAUAUCCAACCAGAGGUGUGUCUUCUACGUGGAGGGGACCCGCUGCUCUAACCAUUUUAUCCCAAUGACACGACACUGCAUCUCUCGUAUCCGUCAUAGUAUGAUCUAUGAUCCAUCAUGGGUUGAUUUUAAAAUGUGCACGAGUACAAUAACUUACAUGGACUUAUGUAAGUUAUUAAUGCUCUUUGUGGCAAAACCUACAACAUAAGCUUGGAUGUUGCCAUGUUAACCAGCCAGCCUCGCUACUUCUUGGACAUUUGUGCCCUUCAAAUUCUUACAUGUGCUUGAACUGAAGAAGAUGCACCUGCAUUUUCACACUCCCUCUUAUUGUAAACGUGGCCUUAAAUCAAGUCUGGCAGCUUGUUGUAGCUGCAAUCAAGUUGUAGAAACAUCAAGGAUGAUCAAUGGAAAUGAUGCACCUGAGCUCAUUUUCGAGACUCAUAGCAAAGG
Molecule: long non-coding RNA, 1068 nt
Organism: Oncorhynchus gorbuscha (pink salmon)
Lineage: Eukaryota; Metazoa; Chordata; Actinopteri; Salmoniformes; Salmonidae
Exons: 3
Source: RefSeq, a predicted model, not a curated record